Molecule: long non-coding RNA, 797 nt
Organism: Seriola aureovittata
Lineage: Eukaryota; Metazoa; Chordata; Actinopteri; Carangiformes; Carangidae
Exons: 3
Source: RefSeq, a predicted model, not a curated record
CACGAUGAUGAUCAAUAUGACGACUAGAGGUCCACCCACACCUACCAAUACCUGCCAGCCAGCCAGCGACAGGCUGAAGACUAAGAGCGGAAAAAGGAAGAAGCAGCAGAUGAUGUAGACAGCAGCAAACCAGCGCCACCUGUCCCUUCAGCAUGGAGUUGAGCAGCUUGACGAUGAGGACCAGACAGGAGCAGAGCACCAGCAGAGAGAGAGCCAGCAGGAUCAGACCCACAAACAGAAAUGUUCUUCAGUGUGAAGGUGUAGUUGCCAUCCACCCAGCAGAGAGACGGAGAGGUGCAGUUCUCUGGACCAGGAACUGUAACGUUCAUUAAGGUCUGAAACACAGCGGCAAUUUGACUAUAAAGACUUGAAUUUCAAUGUGUUUGGAUAUUUGGUAUGCAGCGGACGUGUUUUGGUCUUACUGUGUUGGUGAAGGUUUGGCACCAUUUCUUGACGAGACUCUUAUUCCUGGCUUCUGCGUCUCCAGUGGCAAUCCCACUAAGGACAGAUUCAUCCAACUAAGUCAAAGGGAAAGAGAAGGAAUGUGGAGGUCAACCAUGUUGAAGAUAACAAUGUUAUAAAUUGCAUCUUAUUGCUCUAUAUAGCUACAUGACUACUGUCUGAUGGAUGAAAUAUGCCUUACAACACAAUGUUGUAUGAUCGUUCGAUGAUGUAGAUGAUGUAUAGCCUACUGUAAUUCCCUCUGGAUAAUUUCAGCUAAAUGUUGACAUCCUAUGUUAAAGAUAAAGUCUCCCAGAUAUUUGUAAUAUCAAUCACAUCUAAAGAUGUUAAAGGUA